UGUCUAUGUGCUGCAGGUUACUGGACUGACCGCCUGUGUUUUGUGAAGGGGAGGAGCUCACAGCAGCAUCUGCUGCUCGUUGAGGACAGUAACUGCAGAACGAUCCGAGCUUUCAUUUCAGAGUCUCCAAAACACCAGAAAAAGUCGCUAGAUUUGUCACUAGUUGCUUUUGUCAAAAAAAAAAAAAAAAAAAAAAACGUGGCCUGGAGGUUUUGGAAAGUCGCUAAGUUGCAACACUGGCAUGUUCGUGCAGAGCUCUCCUCUGUUCCUUGUCAAGCUCAGUUUGUUUGCCAGCUCCGAGAAAAACCAGUUUCUGUGUUUUCAAGCUGUUCAGCAUCAACAGAUCGUGAAGAGACAGAAGCAGAAUUAUUCCAUCAUGAAUGUUUAAUUCUGUCAUGGAGUCCUGGACCAGGUUUAUUCUCCUUCUCCUCGUGAUCAGAUUAUCUGAUGCUGAAGAAGAGCAGAAUAAUCUGACAGGAACUGAGGGAGGAAACAUCACUCUGCCUGAUCCUGUACUGGAGAGAGGAUAUCUGUUAUAUGAAGGAAAUGUUAUUGCUCAGGUGAUAAACAGAGUACUCAUCAUAGAUGAUGGCAUUUAUAUUAGCAGACUUCACUGGAACAAUAACUCUGGACUCUUCACAAUCACAGACCUGCAGAAGAGAGACUCUGGGAUUUAUAAAAUUGACUCUAAAAAAGGAGUAAUUUCUACUAAAUCUAUUUAUAGCCUCACAGUUUACGACUCUGUAGCGCUUCCUGCUGUCCAAACACUGAGUGUGAGCUCUGACAGCUGCUAUCUGCUGUGUGCUGUGGACAAAGCUGCAGAGAUCACACUGUGGUGGUACAAAGAUGAGGAGGUGGUGAACCAGAGCAGCUCUGCUGGACCUCUGCCUCUCACUGUGACCAAGCAGGACCUCAGCUCCUCUUACAGAUGUGUGGCUGGAAACCCUGCAGAAGAAAGGACUCUUCUAGUGGAUCUUCAGACGUUCUGUGGAGAGAACUUCACUGCAGUUCAGAACAACACAGAAUCAAGACAUCAUCCUGAGGGCACAAAGUCAGACGCGGAGUACACUGAAGUAAACAUCUGUCCUGACAGACGCAGUCAGGGAGGAAAUUUACCGGAUUCACCAGGCUCUGUGGAUCGCUCCAAUCUGACGACAGUUUAUGACAAACUGGAGGCUCAUCGGAUGGUGCUGCCAGACUCGGAUGGUAACGUUUGACAGCAGAAAACAGAUUUCUACCAUUAUUGUGCAGCUGACUGAAACCAAAGAUGAAGGAAAAUGUACAGACCAUAAUCGACCAGUACUAUUUGUAGAUAACCAAAAAUACAACUGUCCUGUACCCAUUUCAAUAUUUGCUAUUUAUUUUGUUCUUGUGAUUGUAUUAACUUCUUGCACUGCUUUGUUACUGUCCAUUGUUGCAUUUCAUCUGUUCUCAGAAGGUCUUCACAUUUCAUCCUUGGUGUUAAUAAAGAUGCUCUGUAUGGAGACAUGGUGUUUACUGUCUUCUGUGGUUCAGACAUUCCUCCCUCAUUCAGUAACACAUUCUCUAGAUGCUGCAUCACAGCUGGCAGUAAGUCCUUGUAUAGAAAUAGUUCAAACAUGAGCAGGACAGUGUUGUCAUUCUGAAAUACUGUCUCUGCAGAACCUCCCUGGUUAGAAGAAGAACCGACAGUAGCUCUGCAUCGUGUUGUCUCUUAGAUCCGUGAGUUCUCUACCAGAGGAACCACAACAACCUCCAUCAGUACAAUGCAGCUCAUUUACAACUAAUUCAACACAAAGUAGGAAGUGAGUCACCACAACCUGCCCCCAGGACAGCUCUGAUUGGUCGAGGCCUGGAGUCCUCAGACCUCUGAAGACGUCCUGUGGUUUCAGGCUCCAAGACCUUCACAGCAGAACCUUUCAGGUCUGGAAGUUUCUGGAAUCUGAAGGCUGAGUCGACACUUGGUUGGACACUCUCGGUUGUGUUCCUCUAACCAUCAGUAGAUCCAUCUGGGAAUGAAGCUGCCAUGAAGGUGGUGAAAGGAACGUCCACAUGAAUGCAGGACUUCAUGUUCCCCAGCAGAACAUCACCUCCUUCCAUCCUGCUGCAUCUCCUCUGCAGGUAUACGACACACCUGGACUUCGAUGUGAUGGAGAAGGAAACUCCUCAGAGCAGGACACCUUCUUCCAUCUGUCCAUGGUCCAGCUGUGAUGCUGUAGCAGCUUCCAGUGGUGGACAGGAGUCAGCAUGGACUCAAUCUGAGAUGUUCUGAGAUGUUCUGAUCAGCAGCUUGGAGGUUUUCAGCAGCUCUUCUAUAGGAUCAGACCUCCUGCAUGAGGGAUCCUCUGGUGUCCACGUCUCUGGUUCUCUGGUUCUCCUUCUCUUUACACUUUUAAUAACCGCUGUAGAACUCUUGCUGUUCUGGAGAUGUUCUGAUCCAGUUUGUUAAAGUCUCUCAGAUCUUCCAAUGAACCAACUUCCAGAACUGAGCCUUUAUGAGGAGAUGAUCAUUGAGCUGGUUUAAUGUUAAUGUUUUUAAACUCA
Long non-coding RNA from Amphiprion ocellaris (clown anemonefish), 2523 nucleotides. NCBI's taxonomy places the organism in Eukaryota, Metazoa, Chordata, Actinopteri, Pomacentridae. The record is from Ensembl.